This 274-nucleotide ribosomal RNA is filed under the name uncultured bacterium. Its description in RNAcentral is "partial 16S ribosomal RNA". It matches the Rfam family "Bacterial small subunit ribosomal RNA", at positions 523 to 796 of the family's 1533-position model. The record is from RNAcentral.
CUACGAAGGGGGCUAGCGUUGUUCGGAAUCACUGGGCGUAAAGCGCACGUAGGUGGAUCAAUCAGUUGAGGGUGAAAUCCCGGGGCUCAACCUCGGAACUGCCUUCAAUACUGUUGGUCUUGAGUCCGAGAGAGGUGAGUGGAAUUCCUAGUGUAGAGGUGAAAUUCGUAGAUAUUAGGAAGAACACCAGUGGCGAAGGCGGCUCACUGGCUCGGUACUGACGCUGAGGUGCGAAAGCGUGGGGAGCAAACAGGAUUAGAUACCCUAGUAGUCC